RNAcentral lists this long non-coding RNA (241 nucleotides) under Carica papaya (papaya). Its description in RNAcentral is "long non-coding RNA (CPAP_LNC010084)". Lineage: Eukaryota; Viridiplantae; Streptophyta; Magnoliopsida; Brassicales; Caricaceae. The record is from RNAcentral.
AUAUAAGAUUCCCUCCCAUAGCCGAUCUUGCACUCCUUCUUGGAUUAAGUCUUGCUAGAAUUUGUAAGACUUGAAAUAGGACUCAUCAAAAGGACUUCAGUUUGGAAUAGGUUUUGUUGGCCGAAUGCAUGUUUAUUCUUGGACUCCUUUUUCAAGUUAAGUUAUUUUUUCAUCUCUUUGAUUGUUUGUCUUUUCUCAACUUGUAAUCUUCCAUGGAAUGUAGGAGAGUGGUCUCCUUAUU